RNAcentral lists this transfer RNA (83 nucleotides) under Caudoviricetes sp. RNAcentral describes it as "tRNA-Tyr". The record is from RNAcentral. Lineage: Duplodnaviria; Heunggongvirae; Uroviricota; Caudoviricetes.
CCCAGCAUAAAGCGUUACGGACACGCGCCAGUCUGUAAAACUGGUGACUUCGGUCUGGCUUGGUUCAACUCCAAGGGCUGGGA